AACGCGAAGAACCUUACCUGGGCUUGAACCGCUACUGACUAACGGUAGAAAUAUCGUCUUCCCGCAAGGGACAGUAGUAGAGGUGCUGCAUGGCUGUCGUCAGCUCGUGCCGUGAGGUGUUGGGUUAAGUCCCGCAACGAGCGCAACCCUUACUCGUAGUUGCCACCCGCAAGGGGGAACUCUACGAGGACUGCUCCGGAUAACGGAGAGGAAGGUGGGGAUGAUGUCAAGUCAGCACGGCCUUUAUGUCCAGGGCUACACACGUGUUACAAUGCGCGCUACAAUGCGUCGCGAACCCGCGAGGGGGAGCUAAUCGCAAAAAAGCGCGCUCAGUUCGGAUUGCAGUCUGCAACUCGACUGCAUGAAGCUGGAAUCGCUAGUAAUGGCGCAUCAGAACGGCGCCGUGAAUACGUUCCCGGGCCUUGUACACACCGACGCAC
RNAcentral lists this ribosomal RNA (440 nucleotides) under uncultured bacterium. RNAcentral's name for it is "bacterial SSU rRNA". It matches the Rfam family "Bacterial small subunit ribosomal RNA", at positions 958 to 1398 of the family's 1533-position model. The record is from RNAcentral.